RNAcentral lists this ribosomal RNA (200 nucleotides) under uncultured bacterium. RNAcentral's name for it is "partial 16S ribosomal RNA". It matches the Rfam family "Bacterial small subunit ribosomal RNA", at positions 8 to 204 of the family's 1533-position model. The record is from RNAcentral.
AGAGUUUGAUCCUGGCUCAGAACGAACGCUGGCGGCGUGCCUAACACAUGCAAGUCGAACGGAAUUUGAGAACUUGCUCUUAAAUUUAGUGGCGCACGGGUGAGUAACGCGUAGAUAAUCUGCCUGACGAUCUGGGAUAACACUUCGAAAGAGGUGCUAAUACCGGAUAAGCCCACGGAGUCUUUGGACUUUGCGGGAAA